This 58-nucleotide transfer RNA is filed under the name Ovis aries (sheep). It matches the Rfam family "tRNA", at positions 8 to 63 of the family's 71-position model. From Rfam's summary of the family: Transfer RNA (tRNA) molecules are approximately 80 nucleotides in length. The record is from Rfam by way of RNAcentral. Lineage: Eukaryota; Metazoa; Chordata; Mammalia; Artiodactyla; Bovidae.
UGGCUCAGAGGUAUAAAGCAUCUGCCUGCAAUGCAGGAGACCUGGGUUCAAAUCCCUG